GGGCCUCUAGCUCAUCUGGUAGAGCGCCGCAUUUGCACUGCGGAGGCGAGCGGUUCGAGUCCGCUGAGGUCCACCA
RNAcentral lists this transfer RNA (76 nucleotides) under bacterium. Its description in RNAcentral is "tRNA-Ala". It matches the Rfam family "tRNA". Rfam says of the family: Transfer RNA (tRNA) molecules are approximately 80 nucleotides in length. Their secondary structure includes four short double-helical elements and three loops (D, anti-codon, and T loops). The record is from RNAcentral.